This 245-nucleotide ribosomal RNA is filed under the name uncultured bacterium. RNAcentral's name for it is "partial 16S ribosomal RNA". It matches the Rfam family "Bacterial small subunit ribosomal RNA", at positions 524 to 768 of the family's 1533-position model. The record is from RNAcentral.
AACGUAGGAGGCGAGCGUUAUCCGGAUUCACUGGGCGUAAAGCGCAUGUAGGCGGCUCGUCAAGUCGGUUGUGAAAGCCUCUGGCUCAACUGGGGGAGGACAACCGAAACUGAGGGGCUGGAGGCUCAGAGAGGAAGGUGGAAUUCCCGGUGUAGCGGUGGAAUGCGUAGAGAUCGGGAGGAACACCAGUGGCGAAAGCGGCCUUCUGGCUGAGACCUGACGCUGAGAUGCGAAAGCGUGGGUAG